GAAGGGAAAGGAUCGGGUUUGAAAAGCAGCGUGGUAAACCGGCGGAACUAUCCUCUGGCAAAAAGAGGAAAUUUAGUAAAGAGAAUUAAAACCGGUGCAUAUAAAAGGAGGAAGUCAAGUGGGCAUGGAGGAUGCUGAAACAGCAUCGUUACCUUAUGUGCAGAGGAUGCUUCACGUUGCUGACCUGUGUCAUCCUCACCUAGCUGUGGUAAGCUGACCCUGACAAGCAGUAAGAAGUUUUUAUGUAGUAGAAGAGGUGUGGACUUGCAUCACAAACGGAGUGGGAAGAUCCAAAAAAUUUAAAACUGAAGAAGCAGCAGUGCGUCAGAAACCUCAUCUACUCACAACACUUACGGGCAAGAACCAGACCAAUUCAGACAGAGGAGAGAAGGAGGAGAGCUCUUUUUCCAUUACUGCUUCAAGGAAGAGAAUUAGUAUUUGAUAAGAAAAAUCAAUUAGCUGACAAGUAAGAUGGAGAUUCUGAACACAACCUAUGGAAACCACCCUUGAAGAAAACCUGUAAUGUAGGGGAUCCGUGAUGGCUUUGUAAGUUCUGGAGCAUGGUUGUGUGUAGCUGGUUGACUCAAGGUUUGCCUUAGGUUCUACCUUGCAGUGUCUUCUCUCGGGCUCGCUGCGUCCCCAGAGGUUGUUCUGCUGCCAAGCUCCGAACCGUCUUUUUGCUGCUGAUGCUGUCAGAGGCUCCGUCACCAGAUGAUGUGUGCUGCUUACUGCCGAGGCCGAGUGGCUGAAAGGGAUGAAAAUCCCCAAUGCACAGGAAGGAGCUUUAACAACGUUCUAGGACUUGAACGAGCUGUCUUUUGUAGAAGGGAGAAUGUCCUUAAGCUCAGAUCACCUCACCUCGGGGAUGCCUGCUGGACCUUUUGAGAUUACAGUCAAGAAGUGGGGGUUGGACUCAGUACGGAGAAGAUGGCUUUCUGCUGCCUUCCUGCUUGAACUCCACAGUCUUAAGAUCAGCUGAGCCCAAGAUCUGACUGCUCCGAGGUUUGCCUACAGUGGUUUUCUGUAGCUGUGCUGCAGAAGGGAAUAGCUGGUCCCUAUCCAAGUACAACCCUUUUGGCACUUCCCUUACCUUGAUAACUCUAUUACAGUCAGGAAGCGGCAGUGCACCAAGGCAGACUGUCGGCCAUGGCAGUGCUUCACACUGCCAUGGAAAGAUGGAAACACAGGUCAAAUGCAGACUCCGGAUCUGCAUUUAGCCCUCAAAAGCUCCUUUGCUCUAAUGCCAGCUCUAGCACCCCUUCCCUUUGUGGUCUUUUGGGGUCCAUUUAACGCUUCUGCCUCAGUUUCUUCCAUCUCUAAACCAGAGACAAUAUUCACAAGAAGGUGUAAGACCUGAUUAGUGUUUGUAAAGUGGGAGUUACUGAGUAUGUUGCUGUGGAUCUGUAGACUCAUACAUACCAAAGACAGAUAUUUCUUACAUAAAUAAUUAAUAGACAUAUCACUGUAAUCCCACUCAGUUCUGUAUUACUUCUGCUUGCAGGAUACAGAAUCAUAGAAUUGUUUAGGUUGGCAAAGACCCUUAAGAUCAUCAAGUCCAACUGUUAACCUAGCGCUGCCAACCACCACUAAACCAUGUCCCUAAGUGCCGUGUCUACAGGUCUUUUAAAUCCCUCCAGGGAUGGUGACUCAACCACUUCCCUGGGCAGCCUGUUGAAAUGCUUGACAACCCUUUUGGUGAAGAAAUUCUUCCUAA
Molecule: long non-coding RNA, 1714 nt
Organism: Aquila chrysaetos chrysaetos
Lineage: Eukaryota; Metazoa; Chordata; Aves; Accipitriformes; Accipitridae
Exons: 6
Source: RefSeq, a predicted model, not a curated record